RNAcentral lists this ribosomal RNA (491 nucleotides) under uncultured bacterium. Its description in RNAcentral is "bacterial SSU rRNA". It matches the Rfam family "Bacterial small subunit ribosomal RNA", at positions 28 to 507 of the family's 1533-position model. The record is from RNAcentral.
GAUGAACGCUAGCUACAGGCUUAACACAUGCAAGUCGAGGGGAAACGGCAGCUUAGCUCGCUAAGCUGGACGUCGACCGGCGCACGGGUGAGUAACGCGUAUCCAACCUGCCCCACGGUGAGGGAUAACCCGCGGAAACGCGGCCUAAUACCUCAUGGCCUCCGAGCUUGACAUCAAUCUUGGAGUAAAGAUUCAUUGCCGUGGGAUGGGGAUGCGUCUGAUUAGCUUGUUGGCGGGGUAACGGCCCACCAAGGCAACGAUCAGUAGGGGUUCUGAGAGGAAGGUCCCCCACAUUGGAACUGAGACACGGUCCAAAACUCCUACGGGAGGCAGCAGUGAGGAAUAUUGGUCAAUGGGCGAGAGCCUGAACCAGCCAAGUAGCGUGCAGGACGACGGCCCUAUGGGUUGUAAACUGCUUUUAUAAGGGAAUAAAGUGAGUCUCGUGAGACUUUUUGCAUGUACCUUAUGAAUAAGGACCGGCUAAUUCCGUG